CCUACGGGCGGCAGCAGUGGGGAAUAUUGCGCAAUGGGCGAAAGCCUGACGCAGCGACGCCGCGUGAGGGAUGAAGGUCUUCGGAUCGUAAACCUCUGUCAGCAGGGAAGAACGGUCACUGUGCUAAUCAGCAGUGAAUUGACGGUACCUGCAAAGGAAGCACCGGCUAACUCCGUGCCAGCAGCCGCGGUAAUACGGAGGGUGCGAGCGUUAAUCGGAAUUACUGGGCGUAAAGCGCUCGUAGGCGGUAUGUCAAGUCAAGGGUGAAAUCCCGGCGCUCAACGUGGGAACUGCCUUUGAAACGGGCGACUAGAGUGUGUGAGAGGAUGGUGGAAGUCAAGGUGUAGGAGUGAAAUCCGUAGAUAUCUGGAGGAACAUCAGUGGCGAAGGCGACUAACUGGCACAUAACUGACGCUGAGGAGCGAAAGCGUGGGUAGCAAACAGGAUUAGAUACCCGAGUAGUC
Molecule: ribosomal RNA, 464 nt
Filed under: uncultured bacterium
Lineage: Bacteria
Description: partial 16S ribosomal RNA
Rfam family: Bacterial small subunit ribosomal RNA
Source: RNAcentral